Molecule: non-coding RNA, 22 nt
Filed under: Arabidopsis thaliana (thale cress)
Lineage: Eukaryota; Viridiplantae; Streptophyta; Magnoliopsida; Brassicales; Brassicaceae
Source: RNAcentral
CAAUGGCUGCUUGUGAAUUCUC